This 198-nucleotide ribosomal RNA is filed under the name Triticum aestivum (bread wheat). Its description in RNAcentral is "partial small subunit ribosomal RNA". Lineage: Eukaryota; Viridiplantae; Streptophyta; Magnoliopsida; Poales; Poaceae. The record is from RNAcentral.
AUGGGCGUGAUGGGCAGGCUCAAGAUCUUCGUCGUCAAGGAGCCCGUCGUCGCCGCCUCCUGCCUCAUCGCCGGAUUCGGUCUAUUUCUUCCAGCGGUUGUUAGGCCAAUGUUGGAUUCUUGGGAGACUGAGAAAAAUGCCAAAACCCCAGUUGAACUAAAAGAUGUGGUCGCAGGUGUCACUGGCAAGAAAGCUUAG